GACGAACGCUGGCGGCGUGCUUAACACAUGCAAGUCGAACGCUGAAGCUUGGUGCUUGCACUGGGUGGAUGAGUGGCGAACGGGUGAGUAAUACGUGAGUAACCUGCCCUUGACUCUGGGAUAAGCCUGGGAAACUGGGUCUAAUACUGGAUACGACAUGUCACCGCAUGGUGGUGUGUGGAAAGGGUUUUACUGGUUUUGGAUGGGCUCACGGCCUAUCAGCUUGUUGGUGGGGUAAUGGCUCACCAAGGCGACGACGGGUAGCCGGCCUGAGAGGGUGACCGGCCACACUGGGACUGGGACACGGCCCAGACUCCUACGGGAGGCAGCAGUGGGGAAUAUUGCACAAUGGGCGGAAGCCUGAUGCAGCGACGCCGCGUGAGGGAUGACGGCCUUCGGGUUGUAAACCUCUUUCAGCACGGAAGAAGCGAAAGUGACGGUACGUGCAGAAGAAGCGCCGGCUAACUACGUG
Molecule: ribosomal RNA, 472 nt
Filed under: uncultured bacterium
Lineage: Bacteria
Description: partial 16S ribosomal RNA
Rfam family: Bacterial small subunit ribosomal RNA
Source: RNAcentral